Molecule: small RNA, 577 nt
Filed under: Arabidopsis thaliana (thale cress)
Lineage: Eukaryota; Viridiplantae; Streptophyta; Magnoliopsida; Brassicales; Brassicaceae
Description: ATSL161760
Source: RNAcentral
UUUUAUUCUUUUUCUUUUCACAGUCAAUCUAAAUCCCCAAAAACGUUCCCACCUAGUCCUACCAAGGCCGAAAACGCGGAUUGGAACUAUCUGAGAUACUACUCUUGCCGGCUCAAACCUACCACGUUCUACCAAGCUCAAUUUUGAAAAUAGGCCUUACGUGCUCUCACAAAAUAACAUGGCUUGAAAGAUUGGUUGGUUAAGGGUGGGGGAACUACUCCAAUAAUAGAAGCAGCUACUUGGAUUAACAAGAGUGGUGAAUAAGUUAAAGAAAAUCCAUGUAUGUAUUCUAUCCAUGAGUUCAAAACCGAUGCAAACAUGAUAAUUAUAAGUCAGAUUCAGGUUCAAAUUGACAGGGAAAGGUGUCAUGAUAUGCAUCUGAGUGGUUUCUAUAGAACAUGGUGCGGUUUUACUUCAAAGUCAUUCAAAUGCAUCCAAGAACUAAUAGCUCAUUUAGUGAAUCAUCAUGCUUACAAGGUUAUCUCCUUAUUAUCCCCUAUGCAUAUGCAACAAUCCUACAUGAAACAUCCUAGACUCAAUUCUAUAUGCAAUGCAACUAUAUGAACACUCAUGUUUU